Molecule: long non-coding RNA, 123 nt
Organism: Nicotiana attenuata
Lineage: Eukaryota; Viridiplantae; Streptophyta; Magnoliopsida; Solanales; Solanaceae
Exons: 3
Source: RefSeq, a predicted model, not a curated record
GGUUGCGAGUUGAUUGAGCUGGUUCGAGAUUCAGGUGCCCGAGCGGCAGAGUGAGGGUUCUCAGCAUUUUCGAAGCUUGUCGGAGACUGCAAGAUGGUGAGGAUACGUGCUACCGGUCAGGAU